AAUUUCUCUUUGCUUCUAAAACAAUAGAGUACUUCAACUACAUGUGUUAAGUAUAAAUAGGGAAGUGGAUUAGGAUGAAUCUGCAGAGGAGUUUGAGUGUCAUAUAUACAAAAAAUGGCAGGGAAUAAUGCCCUUCUUCUACUUAUAGCUUUAUUAGCUAUCUCUAACAUUUUCUCUUUUAAUGCUGCUCCAAUCUCAAGUACAUAAUCUUGAUCACUUCUCUAUCUAAUUCUUGAAGUGGCUUAAGUUAAUCAUAUGAUCUGAUUUUGUUUUUCAUUGAACUUCAUUCUUCUUGUACUACAGGGAAUACGCGUCUGUUUUUGCAUGAAAAUCAAGAACUUCCACCACCUGCAUAUACUAACCAGGUACUUCUGCUGUUAUAUAUUACAACAACAUACUGUUAUAUAUUAAAACAACAUACCCAGUGUAAUCUCAUAAGUGGAGUUGGGCUUCUGAGAGUAGGGUUACUUCAUGGAUUUCUUGUUUCUGAUCUCAUUUUCUUCGUUUUGCGGGGAUUUUUUUGAAUAUGAUUGAAAGCAGAUGAUGAAAUUGGAAGCUAUGGAGGAAGAGUUCAUCAAUGGAAGGAUGGAUUUAGAGAGCCAUGAUUACCCUGGCUCGGGAGCAAAUAAUCGUCACACACCUAGGCCACCUAUUGAGACUUAAUAUAAUUAUUAAGUUAUUAAAAGUGUAUUUUCUCUAAUAGUUUAAUUAUGCUUUUUAAAUAAGAUGGUGGUCAUGCAGCAACUCCACUUUAAACCAUUAAUUGCAGGGUCUAAAUCCCAACCAAAAAAAGUCCAUUCUAUCCUCAAAAACUUAAAAAAUAUAAGGAAAAAAAGGCCAUCUUGCACAUUUUGAUGGUUAAAGAAAAGGCAUCUUGCACAUUCUGAUGUAGUCCCUUUUAAACAAUAAUCUUGCUAAUCUUGAACUUUCUUGAAUCCUUUAACAUUAAUAUGUACCUGCAGGUUGAUUUAACAUACUCUAAAUUUCUUUCCAAUAACGUAAACCUAAACAUAAGACUAUUGGGGACUAUAUGAUCUUAUCCACACUUUCCCUCUGAAAAAACUGAACUUUAAAAUUCAAUCAUCUCUUUGUCUAUCUAACUAAAUCUGGUAACUAGAAUAUCCGAUAAAGAUUUAGAAUACUAAUAACUAACAUAAUAUUUCCAAUUGCUUUUAUCAUAUCUGUAUCGUAUAUUUCUCGUGUUGAUCAACAAUAAUUACAGUUGGCGUAUCUUGUGAGAUAUUUAAUUCUGCCGGUAUAUGUUUGCACGUGAGAUAAUUGUCUUUUCGACGUACUUGCAUUUCUUUUGGGAUGGUUUCCCUUACGCUUGCAAAUUUAACACUGUUUCUUUACGUGUCACAUGAAAGAAAUAGUGAAAACUGGAGUUCGUGUCUGUGUCACAUCUAGGAUCUUUAAGACCAACGAAAUGCAUUAUUUGAUUAAAUCAGCUUUUUUCUGUUUUCUCCCGUAAAAAAGAGAAGAAGAAAAGGAAAAAGACAAGCUGGGACAGAGCAUCAAAUUUGGUGGAAUAUUUUUGACAUAAUUCAAAAAGCAUAAAAAAGUAAGACUUAUUGUGUAAAACCACCUGAACACUCCACAAAUUGAAGAUGGAAAGUAACAAAACAGAUAAUAAGCAUUAAGUGAAGGAAGUGGAUCUGAGGUGUCAGCCACUUAUAAUGCAAUUACUAGCUCUGAUAUAUCAUCAUCAUUUUAUUCUUCUUUUUCUUUUUGUGAUUUUGAUGGGAAAAUUAAUACUCCACCUCUUCUUUCCUCAUGAAACUUGUCAUCAUGGCAGUUUUUAAGGAUGACCUGUAACUUGACAACUAGUGAUAGCAAAAUGAUUAAAAUAAAACACUUAUUCACGAUAUUAUUCACUAAAAACAUAAGUCGAAUAAUGGGUUUUUUAAAAACGGGUCCAAAUAUAGAUAAGAACUGUAUUAUCCAUUUAGAAAAUGGAUAACCAAUGGAUAACUAAUGGGUUAACUUUUACAUUUUAAAGCCUCAAAUUGGGAAUUCCUCAAGUUUGUGAGACUAAGAAUUCUCUCAAAAGUAAUCAUAUUCAAGAAGUCAUGGAUAAUAUGGAUAUCCAUAUUAUUCGUCACUUAACUUAUUUUUUAUCUGUAAUAAAUAUGGACCGGGUCUAAUAAUUUAUUUGUUUUUAUAUUAACGUUUUCGACCCGACUCAUAUCCGACCCGACCCGUCAUUUGCCACCCCUAUUGACAACCAAUAUAUUUGAGGGGAAAAUGCCAAAAUGUCCUACUAUGCAAAAAAGAUUAUUUUUUAUAGUGAAAACUACCCUCUAUAGCCCCUCAAAAUUUUAAUAGCCCAUGUUUUUGCACAUUGACACAAAAUUAUCCUCCGGCCCAAACAUAUUACAUCUAAUAGCUCGAAAUGUCUAUUUUGUAUAUUUUUAUAUAGUGACAGUCUAUUUUGUAUAUUUGUUAUAUAGUGAUAGUCUAUUUUGUAUAUUAUUUUGUAUAGUGGCNN
Molecule: long non-coding RNA, 2488 nt
Filed under: Nicotiana tabacum (common tobacco)
Lineage: Eukaryota; Viridiplantae; Streptophyta; Magnoliopsida; Solanales; Solanaceae
Description: long non-coding RNA (NTAB_LNC018880)
Source: RNAcentral